UCGAGGAUCUUCGGCAAUGGGCGCAAGCCUGACCGAGCGACGCCGCGUGCGGGAUGAAGGCCUUCGGGUUGUAAACCGCUGUCAGUGGGGAGGAAAUGCAUGGGGGUUCUCCCCCAUGUUUGACCUAUCCGCAGAGGAAGUGUGGGCUAAGUUCGUGCCAGCAGCCGCGGUAAGACGAACCACACAAACGUUAUUCGGAAUUACUGGGCUUAAAGGGUGCGUAGGCUGCGCAGCAAGUUGGGUGUGAAAUCCCUCGGCUCAACCGAGGAACUGCGCCCAAAACUGCUGUGCUUGAGGGAGACAGAGGUGAGCGGAACUUAGGGUGGAGCGGUGAAAUGCGUUGAUAUCCUAAGGAACACCCGUGGCGAAAGCGGCUCACUGGGUCUCUUCUGACGCUGAGGCACGAAAGCUAGGGUAGCGAACGGGAUUAGAUACCCGGGUAGUCC
This 446-nucleotide ribosomal RNA is filed under the name uncultured bacterium. RNAcentral's name for it is "bacterial SSU rRNA". It matches the Rfam family "Bacterial small subunit ribosomal RNA", at positions 355 to 796 of the family's 1533-position model. The record is from RNAcentral.